CGGGGUGCAGCAGGCGCGAAAACUUUGCAAUAAGCGAAAGCUUGACAGGGCUAUCCCGAGUGCCAUCCGCUGAGGAAGGCUUUUACCCAGUCUAGAACGCUGGGGGAAUAAGGAGAGGGUAAGUCUGGUGUCAGCCGCCGCGGUAAUACCAGCUCUCCGAGUGGUGUGGAUGUUUAUUGGGCCUAAAGCAUCCGUAGCUGGCUAGGUUAGUCCCCUGUUAAAUCCACCGAAUUAAUCGUUGGAUUGCGGGGGAUACUGCUUGGCUAGGGGACGAGAGAGGCAGACGGUAUUUCCGGGGUAGGGGUGAAAUCCUAUAAUCCCGGGAAGACCACCAGUGGCGAAGGCUGUCUGCUAGAACGCGCCCGACGGUGAGGGAUGAAAGCUGGGGGAGCGAACCGGAUUAGAUACCCGGGUAGUCCCAGCUGUAAACGAUGCAGACUAGGUGUUUGGACGGCCACGUGCCGUUCUAGUGCCGCAGGGAAGCUGUUAAGUCUGCCGCCUGGGGAGUACGAUCGCAAGAUUGAAACUUAAAGGAAUUGGCGGGGGAGCAC
Molecule: ribosomal RNA, 551 nt
Filed under: uncultured archaeon
Lineage: Archaea
Description: bacterial SSU rRNA
Rfam family: Archaeal small subunit ribosomal RNA
Source: RNAcentral